RNAcentral lists this long non-coding RNA (37872 nucleotides) under Cricetulus griseus (Chinese hamster). RNAcentral's name for it is "lncRNA (ENSCGRG00015033364.1)". The stretch from base 34989 to 35059 matches the Rfam family "mir-374 microRNA precursor family". Lineage: Eukaryota; Metazoa; Chordata; Mammalia; Rodentia; Cricetidae. The record is from RNAcentral.
GGGGGGGGGAGCGGGGCGCAUGCGUCGGAGCGCACUGCAGCGCUCCUGGAGAUGUUGUGGAUUUGUGGCAUCAGCGCAGAGGCUGCUAGCGUAGCAGAUUUCGUACAUGGUGUUCAUUGCAGUUAACUCAAGGCUACUGCCACCCAGGCACGUCUCUCUGUCCAGCCGCUCCCUCCACAUUCUCCAGCAGUAAGGAUUUUUGCUACGACACUCGCUUCAGCAAGAGAUCUGGUGCUUAGAACCCUAGCUGUCUGGCUUUGAACUUGAGCUGUACCAGAGGAUGACUGACAUAUGCCAUGCUUCUGCUCAAGUGCUGGAAUUACAGAGAAUGCAGUCAGAAAUUAUGCUGCUUGUGAAGAGAUACAUUGAGCCUUUUGGUCCAGUGAAGUUAUUAAGAAUGUGAUUUAAAAUUGUGAUAAAAUCUGGAUUGUCCUACUCAAGAUUUGCCAGCACACCAGGAUGAAUCAAUUGUUUCCAUGGAUAGACACCUUUGGGAGACAGUUGGAAAGCCUUGACUCAAACCCAGGAUCAUGGACAUACUAAACAAUUGCUCUAGCACUGAACUGUAUCUCUGCCUCUGGGGAAGGUAUCUUUAAAAAAAGGUUGUAGAGUUUGCCAGAUCCUAUGAGUGACCUCAAAAGAGAAGAGGAGGGUUCUCCCCUCAGUGAUAAAGGUAACACAGUUAAGUAAGGUAAGUAGGAAAAUAAAGGCUGACUCUGAUCUCACUUCUGGUUAGGGAGACUCUUAGAAAUGCCAUUUCUUUUGGGGAGGAGGGGUUGAGACCAGGUUUCUCUGUAGCCCUGGAUCUCCUGGAACGUUACCUUGUGUUCUUUGUCAUGAUGAUCUUCCUUGCCAUAGGCUGAAGGGAACAGGCCAAUUGGCCAUGGACUAUAACUUUUGAAACUGUGAGUCAAAAUAAACCUUCUUUCACCUUUUAAGUUGUUUGUCUCUGGUAUUUUGUUAUAGAGAUGGUAAGGGUACGAACCACAAUCAGGGUUCUGAUUAGUUAGAAUUAGGACUUAAAAGCAUAAUUCCAUGAUGAUUUAACACAGGACCUCAUGUUAAACAACCAAGCUGCACACACCCACAGUGGUUCUGUAUAUUGCACCUAGAUCUUCAAAGACAUGCUAGGCAAACAGCCUCUCACUGAACUUAGUUCCAGUUCCACUCCACCAUCCCCAGAAUGCUGAAGACCAAACAGAUCUCAUGUGCAUGCUUUGCCACUGGCUACACCCACAGCCCUCUCAUUUUCAUUAGAAAUUGUUCUUUAUUUUAUGUGUAUGGGUCUUUUGCCUGCAUGUAUGUCGAUACUACAUGCAUGUAUAGUAGAGUCCAGAAGCUGAUGGGGCUGAAUCUCCUAAGACUAGAGUUAUAGACAAUUCUCAGCCAACACAUUGGUGCUGGGAAUCUAACCACUGAGCCAUCUUUUCAGCCCCAUCUUCUAUUUCAGUUUUUGUUUUGAUGUUUUGAGACAGGUUUUCUCUGUGAAACACCUGGUGUCGUGGAACUCACUUUGUAGAACAUGCUGGCCUUGAACUCAAAAGAAAUUUGACUGCCUUUCCCUUUCCAAGUGCUGGGAUUAAAGAUGUGCCCAGUUAUUUAAGUUUUUUAAUGUGGUUUUUUGUUUGCUUGUUUUUAGUGGUACUAGAGAAUGACCCUGGAGCCUUUUGCAUGGUAGGCAUGUACUAUACCAGUGACCUCUUUACUUAAUUCGUUAGUUAUUUUUAUUUUGAGACAGGGAUGCCACUUAAUUGUCCAGGCUGGUUUAAAUUCACUCUGUAGCCCCAACAAACUUAAACAUGUUUUUUUUUUUUUCCUUCCUCAACUUCCCAAGUAGUUGGAAUUAUAGGCAAUUACAGGCCUUUGCCACAAGGCUUGACAUACUUUUUUAUUAAAUAAAUUAUUUAUCUUUAUUUUAUGUGCAUUGGUGUGAAGGUAUCAGGUUCCCUGGAACUGGAGUUACAGACAGUUGUGAGCUGCCAUGUGGGUGCUGGGAAUCAAACCCAGUUCCUCUGGAAGAGCAGUCAGUGCUCUUAACCUCUGAGCCAUCUCUCCAGCCCGAGGCUUGACUUCUUUUCAUUUUAUUUAUUCAUUUAUUUUUUAUUAUUUAUUUAUUUAUUUAUUGGUUUUUCGAGACAGGGUUUCUCUGUGUCUUUGGAGACUGUCCUAGAACUAGCUCUUGUAGACCAGGCUGGUCUGGAACUCAAAGAGAUCCACCUGCCUCUGCCUCCCGAGUACUGGGAUUAAAGGCACACGCCACCAGUGCCCGGCUGAGGCUUGACAUCUUGACUUUUUUUUUUUAAUUUUCUUGUUGGUAGUGCUGGGGUGGGGACCCAAGGUACUCUACUACUGUACACUAGCCCUACUUUUACAUUUUCAAAUAAUAGAAUUUUGGGAACUGGGGAUGGCUCACUGGAUAAACACUUGCUAUGCAGUUUCAGUCCUCAACGCCUAUAUAAAACACUGGGUGUGGGCUCUAGAGAGAUGGCUCAGCAGUUUAAAAAAGGCUUGCUGCACUUGUAAUAGAUAAGAGCUUUGUCCUAGUAUCCAUGUUAGGCUGUCUAUAACUCCAGCUCCAGGGAAUCUAGUACCCUUUUCUCACUGCCAUGGACUCACAUGCCAAAGUACACACACACACACACACACACACACACACACACACACACACACACACACACACACAAUAAAUAAAUAAAUAAAUAAAUAAAUGAAAUAAAAUAAAAUCUAAAAAGAAGCCUAACAUGGCCAUGAGAACACGUAACCCCAGUCCUAUAGAUGAGAGACUUGAGGAUCAGUAGGGAUUGCUACCUCCAAGUUUGUUCCAGGUUCAUUAAGAAACCAUGUGUCAAAGAAUAAAGUAGAGAAUAAUGGAGUAGGACUCUUGAUUCCCUCUGUCUGGCCUCUGUGCACAUUUCCCAUGUAUCAUUGUUAUGAUAGCACAUGGGGGAUCUUGGUGGAUUCCAUGGCAGGCAAGGGUGACUGAGGUGGGGGACAAACAUGCCAGGCAGACAGAUCUUAGUGAGGAGUUUCAUUAGAAAGGGUAGGGAGGGGGAAGGAAAGAGAAAAGAGGCACAGAGAGGACAGAAGAGAAGAGGGGGACAGGAAAAAUCCUGUCUGCCCCAGGGAAACGGCAGGAGAGAGAGAGAGCAGAAAGAGAGUGGGGAAGAGAGGAAAAGAGUGUAAGUGAACAGGGGUCUGUCUUUGAAAGGGGUCCUUGGCACCUGCGUCCAGACUAGUCAUGGAACCCUGGGCUGACCAGGGUACUGCCUGAGUGCAUUCUGCCAGGUGACAGGGGCAGACCGGCAUAAUGACUGAAUUUUUACAUUCCCAUGAUUGUUAUUAAAAAGGUAAAAGAGUUAGGUGAGGCAGGUAAGGGAAUAAGGGCCUUGAGUUCUCAAGAUUACUUCCUGCUGACCUUGGGGGGGGGGGAAUGUCGACCAUCUUUGGGGGACCUGAGGAAGCUGGGGUAGCUGGUGUUUCAUCACAGUCCAGGCUGUAUGGAACUCUCUGGUGCCUCUUAGACCUGGCAAGAUCUUGGCAGAGCAGAGGACAUGGUUAAAUUUAAGAAAAAACAUUUUCUUAGGUCCUGGUACUUGAGGGAAGAAGGAUCAUAGAUGAGGGAGUGGUUCCUGAGGGUUCCCAAGAUGAGGGAAGGGAGUCACGGGAUCUGGGAAAGGGUGAAUGCUAUUCAUCUGGAGUGAAACUGACCUUUCUGGGUAAGUCCAAUUCAGGACCCUGGAACUUAGAAGUUUUAGACACAUUAGCAUUUCCAUUGUUUAUGAUCUGUACAUUAUAGAAAUGGCAGUAUACUCAUGUCAGAAAUGAUUUUGUUUGAAAACAUUAACACUCUUAAAACUGACAGAUAUCUUUAGCAAAGCGAAAAGCACCUUAAUUUUGAGCUUGCAGUUAUCAUAUAAUGGUAUAGUUUGGUGUUUUCUACUCUGUAAGAGUUGGAUUAGUAGCUUAUUAAAAUUAUUAAUUAAUGUUAAAACUGAACAGUUGAUUGAGAGAGAAAGAACUCUGAUAACUUGUAAUUGUACACCUUAAGUUACUUUGUUAUGCCUAGAAACAUUUUUAGAUUCAUACAUCUUAACUUUUUAUGGUCUUACAUAAACUUUAUACCUUAAAACAUCUUUUUAAACAGAGGAAUAGUAAGAAGUUAUACUGAAACCUACCUGCCAUCCUAAACUGCAUCAGAAUUCUUGAGAAGGAUAAAAUUUUUCCUGGAUUAAUGAUUAGAGAAUGACAGAGAUUUACUAGUUGGCCAAGUGGACAGCCACUCCCAGAGUCCUACAUAGUUGUUGAGGUUUUAAGGACAUCCACCUUCUGCUGAUAGUGAGCCCUAUGGUUUAAGAGUUUUAGGAAUACUUGCUUAUCAUUGGCCUAAGCAAGGUGGAGAAAGUCUUAUUCCACUGUACUCUUUUUAGUUUUUUGAGACAGGGUUUCUCUGUGGCUUUGGAAGCUGUCAUGGAACUAGCUCUUGUAGAUCAGUCUGGUCUCAAACUCACAGAAAUCCGCCUGCCUCUGCCUCUGCCUCUGCCUCCCAAGUGCUGGGAAUAAAGGCGUCCGCCACUACCGCCCGGUUUCCACUGCACUCUUGUCUUCGGUCCGAAGAGUCCUUUAUAGCAGAUGAGGUGAAAGACAGGGUUUCUCAGUGGCUAUCGUUACCACUUUUGUUGCUGGAGUUUCUUCAGUGUCCACCAGUCUUCUUAGAGAAAAUGUGGUGGUACCAGCGGUUGGCCUGUCUCUCUGUUAUGAAAAGCUUUUUAAUACAACAUUUUAAAUGUCAUUUUCUCUAGAUCUCUGAGCAUUUGAGGGCUGUCUAGUAUAUCUCAGCAGACAAAAUUUGUCUUUAGUUACUUGCCUUAGGCACAUAGGUGGCUACGUAACGCUUUAUCCCUGUAAAUAAUUAAUCUGUACUUAGUAUGGCUAUAAUGACAUUAGUGCAGGGUCUGUGUGGCAAACUGGAUUGAAGCUGUGAGGUUGCGGAGGGAUCGUUUACUCAGAGCCCUCCAGUCAGACUAGAACUGGUUUUAACUUAGUAACUUAAAUAUGCCUGUGAAGGACAAAGAAAUUAAGAUAAAUCCCCUUUUGUAAUACUAAAUUUUUAUUGUAUAAUAUAUAACAAUUUAGAAAUAUUUGAGACUUAUUGCUUCCUCAGUCUAGGAGAUACACAUACAUAGAGUUAAAGCUGGCUUACAUUUUUAAAGAGUGGCUACAUGUACACAUACACAUAUAUAUUAAACAGGCCUGGGUAAAAGUAAGAAGGAAGGACCAGAGUGUGAUCUCUGAUUCUCAUGUUGUAGCAAACAGACAGGCCAUUUAAAGAGACAGAGAAGACUUCAAACUGCCAGUGACAAGAAAGCAGAUCCGCUGCAGAUAGAACAAGCAGGGUUUUUGCAUGAAAUGUGGGCCCUACAGGGCCCUGGAAGGGCACACCAUUACGGAAACAAGCCAUAUGAAACAGCCAGCGAAAGAAAUUAGAGACCAAAAAAAAAAAAAAAAAAAAGGUAAAUGAAUUAUGACUGGCAGCAGGGUUUGUCAGCAGAAGCUGGCUAGACUGUCCCUCUGACUAGGCUGACAGAAGGGAGUAACCCAUGGGAUGGGCGGAUCACCAGCCAGGCCGCAUGGUUGCUCUCAGUCAAGUUGUCAUAAGCAGGUUCCUUCCACUGGCAGAAGUUAGAAAGGUCCCAUAAAGUUUUGAGAUAUAAUUUUGUUGGCUUAUUCCACAAAAGCAAGGCAGAAAGAUACAUGACACCAAGAGGCACAACAUCCAAAAAGACCCCCAUAGGUCUGAGAAACAAAUGCACUAGUCAGUAUGGACAGUGCUAGGGUAUAAAACACAAGAGACCCCUGUGUGGCGGAGAAACGAAUGUACCAGCAGAUAUGGACGGUGAUAGGGUGUAAACCCUGGAAACCUUAUUUGUGGAAUAAAACGUCCCAAGCAGACCCAGUCUGCUGUGAGCCCCUGGCAUCUCUCUAUAAUCUCCAGCAUCCCAGAUACUAAGGGAGGAGGCAUAGUCCCAUUUUGUGGUCCAUCAAGGGCAAGGGCUUGGUCACCCAGUACUGGGUUUUUUUACUGGGCCAAAAUGAAGAAACAAUGGUCUCGAUACAAGUCCUAACUCAUGGAAGCAUGGCAGAGUUGAGAGAAAGGGCUAGGCUUACUGGACCUGGUGUUGAUGGGGAUGGAAGAAUCCAGAGAUCCUUCGUUGGAAAAGUGACAGAGUUGUAGGUUACAGGGUGCCAAGAGCAGGAGGAAAUGCCAGGGAAGCCUGCCAAGUCACGGGCAAAGCGCAUGGACCUUGUCGGAAUCCAUGCAGGUGGGGAACAAACACGCCAGGCAGAGAGAGCUCAGUGAAAACUUUUAUUUGAAAGGGGAGGAAAGGGGAAAGGAAAGAGAAAAGAGACACAGACAGUGAGAGGACAGAAGAGAAGAGGGAGACAGGAAAAGUCCUGGGUACCCCAUGGCAACGGCAGGAGAGACAGCAGAAAGAGAGAGUGGGAAAGAUAUAAGUGGGCAGGGGUCUGUCUUUUCGUUUUUGUUUGUUUUUCGAGACAGGGCUUCUCCGUGGCUUCUGAGGCUGUCCUGGAACUCACUCUUAUAGCCCAGGCUGGUCUUAAUCUCUGUGAGAGAUUCCCCUGCCUCUGCCUCCCGAGUGCUGGGACUAAAGGCAUGUGUCACCACCGCCUGGCAGGGGUCUUUCUUUAACAUGGGUCCUUUGCGUCUGCGUGCAGACUAAUUCUCAUGGAUCCCUGGGCUGACCAGAGUACUGCCUGAGUGCAUUCUGCCAGGUGACAGGGCAGGCCAGCAUGAUGCUUGAAUCCUUACAUGCAUGCAUAUGCAUACAUAUAGGUAUGCCACAUACAUAAACACACAAAUAUGUAUUUUAGAAUUUGGCGUUUAAUAAACAUGGAGUCAUCCUUGAAUGGUGCUGUAUACGCCCUUGAAUUCUUUAGAAAAUAUACAGUUCAUGAGUACAAAGUGAAUUGCUACUGGGAUCACGAGUCAGAAAGCCAGUUUUGAUUUGUUCCUAUGUAAUUGCCUUUGUCCUUCCCCAGCAUAUUGGACAGUCUAUGUAGGAAUACCUCCCUUCCCCAGGCUCAGUGAGCAACUGGUACUGUUCUUCCAUCUAACAUCCUUCAUAGCAGUUUCUCUUCUAUACUACUUUCUGUCAAGGGCAGCUGGGAUUCAAAGCAUGGGUCACUGUACCCCUAUGCCCCGCUCAUCAUUUUUAUUUUAUUAAUUUUUUUAAUUUAGUUUUUUUAAAAAUACCGUGUCUCACUGUGUGCUUUAGUCUGGCCUUCACCUCCCAAGUGCAAGAAUUACAGGCAUGCUCCAUAAUGCCCAGAUUUUUUGUUGUUACUUUUUAAGAUUUACUUCUUUUUAUUAUGUGUAUGAGUAUUUUGCACAGGUGUAUAUAUGCCAGGUGCAUGCCUGGUGCACAGGGAGGGCAAAAGUGUGUAUGUGAUCAUUUGGAAUUGGAGUUAUAGAUGGCUGUGGGUGCUGUGAAUCUAACCCUGGAUCCUUUCAAAGAUCAGCCAGAGCCCUAACAACUGAGCCAUCUGAGUUAUUGGUUUUGUUUUGCGGUCCCAUCUUGUUAUUCACCCAUGUUGUUUGUAGAUUGCAAAUAUUUCUGCCAUGUCCUAUCAGUGCUGGAAGUAAUGACUAGUAGAGGGCCACCACACUGUCAUUUUCUGCUUUCUCUUCAAAAUUUUGAGUAUAUAAUUUUAUAAUUUCCUCCUUCCCUUUUUCUCCCUAAAGUCUUAUCACAUAUACCCCCACACACACACACACGCCUUCUUUUCAAUUUAUGCUUUUUUCUUUCUUUUGGUAUUUUGACACAGGGUAGCUCUGACUGUCCUGGAACUUGCUCUGUAUAACAGGUUGGGCUUGAAUUUACAGUGAUCCACCUGCCUCUGCCUCCUGAGUGCUGGAAUAAAAGGUGUUUGCUAGCACUUCCCAGCAUUUUCAGGUUUUGUGGGGUUUUUUGUUUUGUUUUGUUGUUGUUGUUUUUUUUUUUUUUUUCCUUUGACAGUGUUUCUCAGUGUAACUAUCAUGGCUUUCCUGGAACUCACAGAUCCAAAUGCCUUUGUCUCCCAAGUGUUGGGAUUAAAGUUGUGAGCAACACUGCCCUGCCUCUAUUUCUUUAACUGGUGUGUGUGUGUGUGUGUGUGUGUGUGUGUGUGUUCCUAAAUACAAAUUGCUCAUGUGUAUGUUUUCAGCACUGACAAUUUGGUAUUAGAUAUCAAAAUAGUGUAUCCUAACAUGUGGAGGACUUUUUACUCCCACUCUCAGCAUCUCUUAACUUAGCUGCAAUUCUUUGUGUAGGAUUGAUUGAGGCCUUGUGAAUUUUCUUCUGCUUUUUCGUUCUCUUUAAAUUUUUUUUCCUUUUGGAAAAGAUUUCUUUUUAUUUUAUGUGUAAGAGUGUUUUGCCUACAUGUAGUAUCUAACACAUGGCCUUGGAUCUUCUAUAAUGGUGUUGUAGAUGAUUAGCUGCCACGUAGGUGUUGAGAUUCUAAUCUUCCUCCUGAACCGGCAAUUGGUCUUAAUUUUAAUUGCUAAACCGUUUCUCUAGCUUGAACCUACUUUCUUAAUCUUGUAAUAAAGAUGGGUUUUGUCUUUUCUUUCUUCAUUUUUGUUUGUUUGUUUUUUUGUUUUUCCAGAACGGGUUUCUCUAUCUAGCUUUAAAGCCUGUCAUAGAACUAGCUCUGUAGACCAGGCCUCUGCCUUUGUCUCCCAAGUGCUGGGAUUAAAGGCAUGCGCCACCACUACCUGGCUACUCUGAUCAUUUUUGCUCUUACAGCUUCAUCAUUUGUUUUCUUACAGCCCCAUGACAGUCUUCAAUAAAAAGAAAACAACACAAUAAGGAACUAUGUUACAGGCACUCUGAGAUGGCUGUAAAUCAGUCCAAUAGGAUAAUGGUUUAGGUGACGUUUUGCCCUGAUUAGUCAUUGCCACCACUUUACAAAUGAUUCUUUUUCCUGCAGGCUGGAAAUUAACCCUAGGGCCUUGGAGCUACUAGAUAAGUGCUUAACCACUGAGCAAUAUUUCCACUCCUGCCUGCCUUAGUAUUUUGACAAUAAUACCUGAUGAGAAAAGUUUAAGGGAGGAAGGAUUUUUAUGGUAUUUUUUCCUUUAUUUAUUUUUGUGUGAACAUAUACAUUACAUGGUACACAUGUGGACUUCGAAAUAGGUUCUCUUCUUCCACCAUACGAGUUGCAAGGAUGGGACUUUAAUGCUCAGGAUUGAUAGCAAGUACUUUUAUGCACUGAGGCAUCUUGCCAGCCCGUGGAAGGAUUUGUUUGGCUUACAGUUUCAGAAAAUAUAGUUCAUCAUAGUGAGGAUAGGUUGAUGCUUCCUGUACCGCUGUGCCAACUUUUGGCUCCUAUUUCUUCCAUCUUGAAGCAGAGGGUCAAGAAGUAGUAAGUCUGGACUGUUUCCUCUAAGAUUUUCUUCCGCUAACCCACUUCAUUUGGGGGAAGGGGAGGGUUUCUCUUGUAGACCAGGCUGGUCUCGACUCACAGAGAUCUGCCUGCCUCUGCUUCUCAAGUGCUGGGAGUAAAGGCGUGUGCCACCACUGCCCGGCCCACUAGCCCACUUCUAGCAGCUUCACUUAUCCAAGAUAUCGUAGACACCGCUAGCACCACCAAAUCAUCCCUGGCUGCGGACCAAGUGUUCAAACACAUGAGCUGGUGGGGGACAUUUUAUCUUAUUAUACAUAAUCUUUUCUUUGGUUAUAGCACUGUCCUAAUAGUUAAGUUUGGAACAUUGCCUUUGAUUUACUAUGUCAAUCCUUACAUUUGACUAUUUCAGAAUUCUGAGGAGUUAAUGCUUCCAUGAAUAUCUCAGAAGGAGACAUGGACAAAGGAACAGGUAUCUCACUCCAAUAGGUAAGUGAUUAUUGACAAUGGGAGAAACAUUUUGCUAGUGUAGUGUCUCAUUCCUGUAAUGCCACCACAUGGGAGACUGAGCCAGGAGGAUCCAGGCAGGGCUGCAUAGUUGCCCACCCCCCAAAUGAAAGGGGACAAAAAAAAGUAACCAACCUUGUUCCCUUUGGCUAUUUUGUGGUAUUUGUUGUAUUCAAGAGCUUUUCUAAGUGAAACCUCCAUAUUUCCCAAAGUUUAUGAAUUCACUUUGUUAAAUUUGCUAUUUUUAAUUUUACUCCUUGUAAUCCAUUAGUCGUUUAUUUCUAGUUUCAAAUUUUUGAUGGGUAAGUCUGACAGUCUUUGUCAUUUCUUGAUGGAAUCAUUAAUGAUAGAUUUUUGCCUGCUUUUUCAAACUAAGAUUGCAAACAUAUUGCAUGCCAUUAAAUAUGUUUUAAUGGCAUCAUUUUAAAACUGGCACACAGUAUCCCACCCUAUGAGAAAGGAAACUAAUUUAUAUUUGCUGUUUAGAAUCAUCUCAGUUAUUGUUCUCUCUUCCUGCUUUUUUUCUUCUGUGCUGGUCAUAGAAUCUAAGACUGUUACAAGAUAGGCAAACAUACUUUCUAAAUAUUCCCCCAGCCCAAGCUGUUCCCUUAAUUAUGUUUAAAUAGAAAAUGCUACAGUUAGCAUCCUUGUAGUUCAGUUAUUAAAUAGCAUGCUUAUUUCCUAAGACUGGAUGAAGUGUACAGUCCCUCUAGUGAAUAUGAAAAUACGCAUUACCACAUUCCACAUUGACACUAGUACACUAUAUUCAGUAUUUUUGUAAAAAAAUUCACCAAUUGCAAGCUGAAUAUAGUGCCUCAUACCUGUAAUCCCAGCAGUUGGGAGGCUGAGGCUGGAACAUCACUGAAAGAUAUAAUUCUGUUCUCCAAAAUACCACAAAAAAAGGAAAGAAAAUUUCUUUUUUGGUGUUUGUGAAAGCAACACAUAAUCUUCUUUAAUGUUGUAGGUUGUAUUUCUUUGAUUGCUAAUGAAAUAAAACAGGGAAAGUGUUUCUUGGCUCUUUGUGUUUUAUUCCUGAUUUUUUGAAAAAAAAAAUUGUUGUUGUUUUUCAAGGCAGGAUAUCUUUGUGUAGUCCUGUCUGUCCUAGAAGUAGCUCUGUCAACCAGGCUGCCCUUGAACACAGGGAUUCACCUGUGUCUGCCUCCCAAAUGCUGGGAAUUAAGUCGUAUGCCACCACUCCCGGCCUCUAUUUUAUUUUAUUUGUAUUAUUUCUUUAUUUUUAAAAUCAUUUUAUUUAUUGUUUAUAUUUCUGAAUGAGUUAGUGAGUGCAGGUACUCACUUGUGUGAAGAGAAAAAAGGACAACUUUACAGAGUUUGUUUUUUCGCUCUUACUGAGGCAGUGUCUCUUGUUUAUGCUGCUUUCUUGUCCUCAUUUUUACUGCUGUACACUCCAGCCUAGUUUGCCUGGGAGCUUCAGGGCAGUUUUACUGUCUGCACUUUCCAUCUCACUUUCAGGGGCUUGUAUUAGAGAUGGGUCCAGUCAAAUCGAACUUUUUACAUGAUUAGUAGUGGCUUUACCCACUGAUCCAUCUCCCUGGCCCUCCUUUAGUUUUGCCGUGCAGGAAAUGGAGCCCAUGGUCUCAAAUAUGUAAGGCAAUUUGAGUUUCUUUUGUUUGGUUAGUUGGUUUUGAUUUUCAAGACAGGUUUUCUCUGUGUAGCUCUGGCUAUCCUGGAGCUGUCUGUAGACCAGACUGUCCAAAAACUCAGAGAUCUGCCUGCUUCUGCCUUCUAAGUGCUGGGAUUGAGGUCUGCUACUAGCAAUUUGAGUUUUUUGUUUUGUUUUGUUUUUUUUAAAGACUUUAUUUAUUAUGUAUACAACAUUCUACUUCUAUGUAUAUCUGCACACCAGAAGAGGGCACCAGAUCUUUUAACGGAUAGUUGAGUCACCAUCUGGUUGCGGGGAAUUGAACUCAGGACCUCUGGAAGAGCAGUCGGUGCUCUUAACUGCUGAGCCAUCUCUCCAGCCCCCGCUAUUUGAGUUUCUUACACUGACUUGCAACUAUGUUUGGUGUUUGAUGGUUUUCUUUUGUGAAUUUGACUUUUAUUGGGGUUUAAGACAUGGGAUGGAAAAUAGCUUGGGAAGUAUCAUAGCCUAGGGUCUCAGGGGUCUCAGUAUGUAUUCCAUGAUAGCCACAAAUUCAUGGCAAUUUUCUUGUCUUAGUCUCCUAAGGGCUGGGAUUAAGGGUUGAGCCACUAAUGUUAGUCCCAUUUUGAAAUUUAUUGUCUCAUGUUUCAGAUUUUUUGUCUGAGCUACCCUACUAAUAUUCAUGGAGCUAUUUCAAGUAUCCUUUUUCUUUGUGACUUAUUACGUGUUUAUUUGGUUUUUUUGUUUGCUUGUUUUUCUUUUUUAUUUGAGACAAUGUUUUGCUACAAAGUCCAAUCCAACCUCAAAUUAAUAAUCCUCCUGCCUUAUCCUUCCAGGUACUAGGAUUACAGGCAUGUGCCACUAAUAAUAUGCCUAAUUUCCUGUAGUUUAUAAUUUAUAAUCCCUUUUUUUUUUAUAAUUUUUGAUGUUUUGAAGUUUUUAAAUGUUACUUUAAUUAUUUGGGAACUUUUAUAUAUUUUGAACCUAUUCACUCUCCUACCUCAAGAAACAGGAUCUUAAAUAGCCCAUGCAGGCCUUAAACUUAUUGUGUAGCCUAGGAUGACCUUGAACUUCUCAUUCCUACUUCUACAUUAGAGGACCAGGAUAGUAUUUUUUUUUAAGUGGUUCUGGGGAUCUAACACAGUGCCUCAUAUGUACCAGGCAAGAGUAUACCAACUUAGCUAUCCCUAGCCUUCACAUAGUUUUUAAUCUUGUCUUCUAUGGUGCUAAAAAGUGAACUACUAAGCUUAUACAUGCUAGUGAAGCAGCAGUCUGCCCUUUGAACUAUAUAUAUUUACCCUCUUUUAUCAUUUUUUUUGAGAUGAAAUCUUAAAAUGAGUUGCCCAGCGGGCUGGAGAGAUGGCUCAGAGCUUGGGAGCUCUGACUGCUCUUCCAGAGGUCCUGAGUUCGAUUCCCAACAACCACAUGGUGGCUCACAACCAUCUGUGAUGAGAUCUGGUGCCCUCUUCUGGUGUGUAAGCAUGCAUGCAGAUAACUGUAUACAUAAUAAACAAAUAAAAUCUUAAAAAAAAAAACAAUGAGUUGCCCAGACUAUUAUUAAACUCCACAAUAGCCCAGGCAAUCUUUGAAUUUGUGAUCUUCCUAAUUUAGCCCCAACCACCCCCUCCCCGUGACAGGAAUUCUAAAUGUGUGCCAUGAUUUGUGACUUAUAUCUGGCAUGUGGUAUAUGAUUUUCUCAUUUAUUGCUUUUAUUUUUAUUAUUACUAUUUGAGUUCGUUUUUUGAAACAGUGUCCCUGUAUAGCUGCCUGUCCUGAAACUUAUUCUGGGAUUAAAGGCAUGUGCCACCACCUCCCAGCUUAAUUUCUUUUUAAGGCAAGUUAUUAAUAUGUAUUAGUGGCUUGCCUACAUAUAGAAGUGUGCACAUCUCAUUGGCGUCUGGUACUUGUGGAGGCCAGAAGAAGGCAUUGGAUUUCAUAUAUGGAUGUGAGCCUUUGUGGGGGUGCUGGGAAUUGACUCAAGUCCUCUGCAAGAGCCAAUAGUGCUAUUACCUUCUGAAGUAUCUCUCCACCCCCCUGUAAUUAGUUUUCUUAAUGUCUAGCACAUUCAGCGCUAGGAGGUGCUCUUACAGGUAUCUGUGAGGAUUUCAGUAGUACUGAAUUUCAGAAUUUUUUCCAGUGUUCUGCUUCUAACGUAAAAUACUAUUCUCCCAGUUCCUCCUCCUCUUGAUUGUCUGCUCAGCUUUGCCACCCCUGGCUUAUGCUCUCAUGGGAAUUUGCAUAUUUUUCAUAUUGGGUAUGAUAAUAGUUUCAUUUUUCUGCGCUUUAUGGGUUCUGCUGUUGUUGCAUGAAAACAAAUGUAGGCAAUGCAUAAACAUGUGAGCCGUAUUUGUGGAGGCUGCGGUUUGCCAAUACCCAUUUUAUUACAUUUUUCUCUUUUAACUUCUGUCUUUGUUUUCAAUGAUCAUGACUCUGAUCUUUUGCUGUACCUUUUAAAGAUUCAUUUAUUUUCUGUGACUGUUUUGCCUGCAUGUAUGUAAGUGUAUCACGUGUGUAUUGCCCAGAGAGGUCAGACACAGAGUGUUAGACACUUAGAACUGGAAUCCUUUGUAAGAACAGAAAGUGCUCCUAACUACUGAGACAUCUCUCCAGCCCUUCCUUUGUAAAAUGUUGGAGGUUUUUUUGCUUGUUUGUUUUGUUUUAAUGGUUUGUUUUCUUUUCUGAGCCUCUGGCUCUUUAGCUGAGACUUGGAACUCACUGUGUAGUUCAGGUUGACCCUGACCUGACAGUGAUUCUUAAGACUCUACCAGAAUUAGAGGUGUUACCAUGCUCAACUACGAUGGAUUUAUCUAUUUAGUUUUUUCCCUCCAGUUUACUAGUGAUGACCUGUUUUCCAUAUCACAGGUUUUUUUCAUUUCAGAGAACACAGGUAUUAAUUAGCUAACCUGUGUCAUUAGUAUCAUGUGAUAUAUGCUGUAAAAGGGAUUCAUUACUUCAAUAUAAUUCUAAGUAGCUGCAUUCCUUUGACCCUAGUUUGGAAGAAACUUGGAGAAGAAAAGUGUUUAUCCAACUUACAUGUCAUAGACUGAACCAAGGCAGGAACCUGGAGGUAGGAAAUGAAGAGACCAUGGAAGAAUGCUAACUGGCUUGUUCCCCUGCUUUGCUCUGCUAUCUUUCUGAUACAGCCCAGGCUCACCUGACUAGCAGUGGCGCCUUAUAAUGGCGUGGUGCCUUCUGUAUCACUCAGCAAUCAAGAAAAUUCUCUCAGAUAUGGCCACAGGCCAAUCUAAUGAAACAAUUCCUCAAUUAAGGUUCCAUCUUCCCAGGGGUGAUCAAAAAUCAAAAUUAGCUACCACCAUUUGUAAGGGUAUUCUUCUCAAUCCACAUUUCAUUGUAAGAACAGUCUUAAGUUCCUAAAACUUGUCUCUAGUGUUGGGUCAUGAAUGUAUCUCUGGUUCUCUGUGUAUGUUACCUUGCUUCUACUGCAGACAGGUUGCUCUCAUACUGUCUUUUUCACCUCCUAUUUCCUUAAGGCUUUUCCUUCAUUCACUUCUCACUUGAGCUUUUGUUAUCCGUAGACAUGGCCUUCUUGCUACCUUCAUCUUCUCUGUAUAUACUAAGAGCUUUUGCUCUUAUUGCUCUCCAGUGUCUUCAGUUGUGCAAUUUGAGUCCUCACGGGUUGUGAUGUUUUCUUGAGACUAUGGGUGUAACAGUUCCUAUAUGUCAGGUCUAGGACCUUUUCUACUAUUGUUAUAUGUGAAUAUCUUAUCUUCCUAUGUAUAAAUCAAACUUGCUUCAUUCUAAAACAAUUCAGUUAAUGUAAGUAUAACCUAUAUUAUUUAAUUGCUUUAAAACCUGAAACGCAACCCAGUCUUGUAGUGGCAUCUUAUCUGGCUGUCUUUGGACCUGUCAGUCUCACAGAUAACUCUGCAACCCUGUUCUCCUAGCAUUUUCUUGCUUUCUCCCUUCUGCUUACUUCCUCAUCCUAUUUACCCUACUGCAGAUGAAUAGUUUAUGCUUAUUUAUAGUGCUUAAGUCAUCUCUUUUCAAAUUGGUUUAUAACUUAAUCUUAAGUCUUUCAUGAUUCUUCCAUGGACUGUAGUAAUUUUUUUUUAAUGUAUCCAUUACUCCAUUAGCUGACUUUUGUUUCUUUGUUUUUUGUCUAUUUUGUUUUUGAGACAUGGCAUCCUGUAACACAAGCUUCCAUCAAAGUUGGUAUUGUACAUAAGGCUAUCCUUCCAAUCCUGAGCCUCAUGUCUCUGUCUCCCAUACCUAACUUGUGUAUUUUUUUUUAUUCAGUGGUACUAGGGAUUGAACCUAGGAUCUCACACAUGCUAGACAAUUAUUCUACCACUGAGCAAUAUUCUAAGUGCCCCCCCCCCCGUAAUUUUAAAUUAUAUAGAAUUUUGUCACUUUGCCCUUGUUUGAGGAAAACUUUCAUGGCAUGACAAGCCUUAGGCUGUUGACCAACUUAUGGUACAUGUCCUAAUGUCCUUCAAUCUGACCCUUUUGGAGGGUGGUAUCUGACCAGUUGUGGGUUUGGAGUACAUAGUUAGACGGAAGAAUGCUUACUUAGCCACACUUGUUUGAUUGUUUUUUGUUAGAAUUUGUGCAUGGGUAGGAGUGAUACUGUUUAUUUAGUUCUAAAGUGAUAUAAAUUUGAUUGAUUACAUGGGUUUAAAAUUUGUUGUGCAGCCGGGUGUUGGUGGCGCACGCCUUUAAUCCGGGAGACAGAGGCAGGCGGAUCUCUGUGAGUUCAAGGCCAGCCUGGUCUGCAGAGCGAGUGCCAGGAUAGGCUCCAAAACUACACAGAGAAACCCUGUCUCGAAAAACCAAAAAAAAACACACACACACACACAAAAAAAAAAAAAAAAAACUUCUUGUGCAGCAAUUUUGAAGUCUAGUGUGCAUAAGUUGUGUCCUAUUUUGUUUUAUUUUAGAUAUGGUAUGACAGGCUAGCCUUAGACUGAUCUAUAGCCCUAUAUAUCCUUAGUCUACUAAGUGCUGGGAUGCUGGCAUAAUACACAUGCAACUGAGCACGACAGUACAAAGGUUCCUCCAUGUUGUAUUCCUGCUGAGGCCAUUCUAGGUUUAAGUAGAAUUUAAUUUCUGUGAUGGAGAACCCCAUGGAAAACUACUCAACUCUAUUCUAGAAACCCAAGGUCAGGAUGUCCUAGGUAAUUGAUCUUGCCUUCUGGCUAAACUGCCUGUUUGUGCACCCUGCCCCCUCCAGGCCCCCUCCAGGUGUCUGCUUAUCUUAGUGACUGUUCAGCUGUGCAUUGCUGGGCAGGAUUCCCUCCUGGUGUCUGCUUAUCUUAGUGACUGUUCAGCUGUGCAUUCCUAUUCAGGACCCCCUCCAGGUGUCUGCUUAUCUUAGUGACUCUUCAGCUGUGCAUUCCUAUUCAGGACCCCCUCCAGGUAUCUGCUUAUCUUGGCCUUGAUUAAACUGCAUACCUAUGCAGGAUCCCCUCCAGGUUACUGCUUAUCUUAGCUUCUGAUAAACUGCCUGCCGGUUCAGACCCCCUCCAGGUAACUGUUUAUCUUAAUGACUGUUAAACUGCAUGACUGCAGGAACCCUGCAGGUAACUGCUUAUCUUAGUAACUAUUAAACUAUGCCUGCCUAUGCAGGACCCCCUCCAGGUACUGCUUACCUUAAUGACUGUUAAACUUCCUGCUUCCUUAACUCUCCCGUGUAGCUGCCCACUGAGAUGUGAGGACAUGGAUUUUGCUUUCAAAAACCUUAUGCUGUGAACACUGUGGGUGGGCUAUUACUGGGUGCCCAAAUACUUGGAUGUAGUCCCAUUAUCCUAGAAUAAAGAAUUCCAAUUCACUAUAAACUGAGUGGUCAUCUUUGGUGGGACAGUGGUAACGAAGGCAUGUUCACCCAGUUUGCUUACUCUGUUCUCCUUUCUCUUCCUCUUUCCUCGCAUGGUAAAAUCUAGAAUUUUAUUUUUUUUAGAUGUUCUUUACAACUAUAAGAAAAGAGUAUAACUUUCCAGUGUGAUGGACUGUGUAGUUGAACCAGUGUAUGACUUGCUCAGUGUCUGUUAUGUAUACUGUAUUCUGCCUGCAUGUAUGCCAGAAGAGGGCACCAUAUCUCAUUACAUACACAUGGUUGUGAGCCACCAUGCUUCUGGAAAUUGAACUCAGGAUCUCUGGAAGUGCAGCCAGUGCUCUUAACCUCUGAACCAUCUGUCUCUUCAGCCCCAAGAGGCUCUUUCUUCUUUCUUUUUCCUCCUUUUCUUCUUUUCUUUCCAUCUUUGUUUUCUCUUUCUCUUUCUAAGGACUCUGUAUAUCCUUGUCUGUCCUGGAAAUCAUGGCAUAACUUCUGCUUGCCUCCACCUUUUUAGUCAUUCUGUUUUCUGAGUGCUGGCAUUAUAGAUGUGUGCCACUAUGCACACCUGUACAAGUAAGACUUCAAAAUUUUUCAGAAAAAAGAGGGUUCUCCAGAAGUUUCUAACCAAUUUCUUAAAUCAUGUUCCCAAUUGGAGGUUAUCCCACUUUAUUUUACUUUAUUUUUUUUGUUUUACGCCAUCACCCACACUGGUCUGAAACUCAGGAGAAUCCACCUGCCUCUUCGUACUGAGUGGAAUUUACAGACAUGAGCCAUUAUGAGCUCUAUUUUCCUUCUUUCUAUUGAUUCCUUGAUAAAACCUCUCUGCUGAGCUCAGCUAGUGACAGGUUUUGGUAGUCCCGCCAUAGGGAGGUAAUAGUGACUGGGAUAACAUGCAGUUACAGGUAUAUUGGUAACUGAAUCUGGUAAUGCCACUUAGAGAUGCCAGAUUGGUCCCGACAGACUAGAAAACUGUGUAUCAGGUAUAUAUGUUCCUGCUGCCCUGUGCUGCUCAUGUAGCUAGCUGAACUACCCUGUCUCUCUGCUUAGUGUUUUUAUUUUAUGCCUCUUACUAGGUUCCAGCUUUCCCAUCCAAUUCUGUUUUUCUCUAGUUCAUGUUUUUGUCUAUCUUUCCUAUUGCUUCUUCUUUCUCUUGUUUUGCUUCCUUAUGCUUUCUAAUUAGUUUAGGCCCUCAUGGCCUCAUCUUUGUGUUGCAUGUUGGCUUGCAAUGCAUCUUUCUCCUUCCCUUUCUGUACUGGUGCCAUUAAAUUACCCUCUUCCAAUUUAGCUUGAUUUACAUGAUGAUGACUCUUUCUUUACUCUGCUUGUUUCUUACGAUUUUGAUUGUGCCGUUAAAAACUGACUUCUCCCAUCCUCUGUUUCAGGGGUUUCAGUUGCAAAUGCCUGCAGGAUCCUGAUGGGGGUACAUGUGUGAGAUGGUUCCUGGUAUUUCAUACUCUUCCCUUUUCUUGAAAAGCUUGUUUUGUUUUGUUUUUCCUUUACUGUUCUUUAAUUUAUCAUAGAGAUUAACGGAUGACAAGGGAUUCGAGAUUCUAAGAGGAUGGGACAGUGUUUCAGACUCCGACCAACCUAAUGUCCAAAAUGCAUCUAAAGGAAGGGCUUAGACUAGUACUAGUGCUGCUGAUAAUUGUCUGGGAAUGUCGAUCCAGGAUUGCCAGAAUUUCUGUCUCUCUACAAGGAAACUUGAGUAGCUUUAAAGUGUUUUUUGCUUUUAGUGCUUCAGGACAAUAGAGUAUGUUUAUAAAUGCCUUAAUAAUCUUACAGCAUCUGUUUCUUUGUAAUUGUAUUAUUGUCAAGUUACUGUAUUCUUAUGUUACAAAAUAAGGGUAUGUAGAAUAAUUUGUGUUCAUUCAGCUUGAGGCCUGGCAGGUUACUAUGGGCAAAGUUCAGAACUGGACCACAAUUUUGAAUUCAUUUGUGUAAAGUAGAAUGAAAUAAUCUAGGACAGAAUAGAUCAUUAUAUGUACAUAACAACAGGAAAACUGUAGUCCCACUUGGUAACUAAGAGUAAAUAUUGUUGUAAAUUUUCUGUUUGCUACCUAUGUUUGUGUAUCUUUGGUUUAAUGUAAUGGUUUUCCUUAUUGGUGGUUAAACUCCUAGAUACUGAAUGAAAUGACAUGAACAUACUAAUCCCUGUAGACAUGUCUCUUUAGCAAUAUAAUAUUUCUUUAAAAUUAAGAGAACAUUCAUUUAAAAAUGAACAUUUUGCGGCUGCAGAAUGGUUUCAUGAUUAAGAGCACAGACUAUUCUUGCUGGGGACCUGAGUAGUUUGGUUCCCAGCACCCAUAUUGGGUGGUUCGCAACUGGCCAUAACUUCAGUUCCAUAGGAUUCAAUGCCUUUGGCAUCCAUAGCUCCCAGCACUCACAUACACAUGCCCAUCUACCCCCACCCCACCCCGCCCUCAAAUGCGUAAUUACAAUAAAAACAUUAAGACUUUUUUGUCUGAAACCUAAGUUGAGAGGGUAUCUCAUGUAGCCCACACUGGUCUUGAAUUUACUCUGUCCUCAAGAUGGCGCUGAACUCUCGUCAUCCUCCUUCCUAUUCCUCCCAAAUUCUGGGAUUAUAUCCAUUUGACAUCAUGCCUGGCAAAAUCUAGGGGUUUUUGUUUUUUAACAUUCUUCAAAAAUAUUAUAAAGUAGGUCUAAAUUUCUGCAGUGAAGAAUUGAGCUUCAACUAAUAUGGUACUUGUACUCUAUCUGAUGCUCUGGGUUUGAAGCAGCCCAAUGUGGGAAUGGGAUGUGAUGGAGCAAGCAAGAAAAUAGAUGUCAUAUGGGCUGUUUCCACCGAGGUGAUUCCCUGGGAGUGCCACUUACAAAGGACAUUUAAUGUUUAUCAUAUUGUAUGCUAAGCUGCUUUAAUUUUUAAUGUUACUCACCCACCUACUUAAGGCUCUUAAAUUUUUCUAUGGUAUGCGGGUGGGUGGUUGUGAGCGUGUAUUUGUGUUUCCAUGCGUGGGUCUAUUGAUUGAUAGAAAUUCUCUUCCUUGGAUUCUUUCUACCUUAUAAUUGAAGUAGGAUCUUGCAGUGAAUCCAGAAACCUCCAAUUUGGCAAGUCUAGGUGUGCAAUCCCCGUUUCUACCUCCUAGGCACUGGAAUUGCAAGUGAACUAUCAUGCCAAUACUAACCAUCAUUCAGCUUUUGGUAGGGAUCCUAACCAAGGCUCUUAAAUUUUACCAGAAUUGCUUUGCCUACUGAGCCAUCUCUUCAGCCCCAACUUGUUAUUGCUUUACUUUUAUUAUUACUUAAUCUGCUUCUGCACUGGCAUGAUAUUUAGAACCUUAACCUUUAGCGAUGCGUCCAAGAAAAAGUCAGAUUACUUAAUGGGCAGUGAGAACUGGCAAAUCUACUCAGGGGAGCUGAUCUUCAUGUCUUUAACCAGGCCUCCCAACAGGGAUUCACUUGUUGUUAGAAAGCCUCUACAGAAGCCACUCACCUUCCCUACCUCCCAGAUCCUCCCGGCUCUCCCGAUGCACCGGCCAUUCUCCAUUUGGUAUUUUCCCUAAGUAGAAGAUUCAUUUCCUUUCAUGCCUCUUAAUUUUUCAUGUCUUUCUGUCAUGCCUCACCCAGAAAUAUUAGCUAAGGGUUUUACUAUUCUAGAAGAGAAUCUUUACAUCUUUGCUAGUAACAAUAGUUGAGCUUAUCUUUAUGCUACCUCAUUCUAAUGGUUUUACCUACUUUUUGCUUCAAUUUCACUAUAAAUCUCUCAUACCUUUUAUUUUGAGAAAACUUGGAUUUUUUUUUACCAUUUUCCUGAUUCUUUAUUUGCUGCUUCAAAUUUUCUGGUGAUGGGAGAAAAAUUUUAUUUACCUCAUCUAUUUCUGGCUAGAUCUUUUCACUUCAGGUUAUAUGAUAUGUUCAGUCUAUUUUCUUUUGACUUGGUGUUGAAAUGUCUUCUUUGGCCUUUGUGCUGAGUAUGAAUUUUGUGCAAUUCAUAUUUCCUUUAAAAAUGCAAAGUACUGUGUUUUGGUGUUUUUGGUUUUUUUUAUGCUGGGGAUAGUGUCAGAGGCCUUUAAUCCCAGUAUGUAAGAGGCAGACAGUAAAUAUUUUUGAGUUCAAGGCCAGCCUGGGCUACAGUAGAGAGACCCUGUAUUGAAAAAAAAGGAAAAAUUGCUGCUAGUGUGUGUGGGUGAUUAAAUAAACUAAGAAAGGACAGUGCUAAUUUUGUAUAUAGUCACCUGCCUCUAAAUGCAUAAAAACCUUGUACACUAGGCUUUCCAAAAUAUUUAUUUGGUAUGUGGGGUAGUUACAAAGGAAAGGUAUAUGACCUCAAUUCAGAAUCAGUGGAAUAUUGGCUGUUACAGGAUAUGGGUUGUCUGGUUUACAAACUGAAAACAUUCUGUAGAAAGCCACAGAAAACAUAGAUAUAUUAAUACUAUUAAACUACAUUCAUAAAAUGGCUAAGAGAGUGAUAGUGUUUUAGGCCAGGCCUGACUACUGCGGUUUUACACCUGGUCAAAUCCUGCUGCCUCACCCCUACCCCCCUAAAAAACCAAAAUAGGAUAAAAGGGAAGGGUGGCGUUUGAUCUAAGUGGCCAUUGAAAGAAGUAAAAAUUGAACUUUGGAUUGAAAUUUUAGCCUGUUCUUUAGGUACUUACAUGAAAAUGGCAGUCAGGUAAUCCAUUUUGGUUAAACUUAUUGGACACCACGUAUAUUUUCCAAUUAACAUAAUAGCAAAGUAUUAUAUUUUAUUAGGCCAUUUUCCCAUGUAUGCCAUUUCCUUUUGAUAAUUCACUGCAUUUGUAAAGAAAUUGGUAAAAAGAAAAAAAAAUCAAUUGGAGGAAAUGGACCUUCAGUUUCGACAAACCAGGGAGAGAAGACUCCUUCUUUCCCUCCCCAUUUUCUGUAGUAGUGAUAUAGUUUUAUGGAAAAAAUAAAAUAUAAAACAAGGGCUCGGGACUUUUAUCCCAGGGAUAAAAGCCCUGGGGUCCAGUGCCUGUCCCCAGAACUGCAUAUGCAUGCUUUGUAAUACCAGCAUUCAGUCAGAUGGGCUUUAAUGCCAGCCUAGUUUACUUAGGGAGGGCAACAAUUAAUAUCCAAGUUCCUAUCUCAACAACACCCCCCCUCAAAAAAGAAGAUAAAACAAAAAUUUUAGGAUGUACAUACAUUGAUUUAAAUUUUGUCAGCUGUCGGACCCCCGUCCUAUGAGGCAAUUUAAUCGUGUCUAGCAUGAGUACUUCAGCCUUUCUCUCCCUCAGCAUGAGAUUCCUAGGACAUUUAAAUUCUUUUGGGGUGCUAAUAGUUUCAAAGUUCAAAGGAGCAGUGUAGAAAUCCUUAGAUAUCUGCAUAACUGUGGUCCCCUGCUAAUACUGAUUUUCUGAUUCUACGGGGUUGCUUUAAAUUUCUUAUCAAGGCCUCAUUGCAUAACAAUCAAUGCUGAAAGGACUAUUGAUUCAUUGUUUGAGUUGCAGCCUAAGGUGAUUUUUGUCAUGGGGUGCUCUAGUUCUCAGGAUAAAGACCCACUCUCAGGAUAAAGACCGGAGACAGACUUUGAGGCACCUUUCAGGGGUCUGGCAGAGGGUAUUAGAAAGGCUGACAAUGAAAUUCCUUAGUCUUAUCUCUGUACCUUUCAGGCUUGAAGAUAAGAAAAGUCAGGCCGCUCCAGGUUUUAGAUAGGCGCCAAUGAUUAUCACCAACUGUCUAUCUAAUGCAAAAGAAAAUAGAAAGUAAAGGCAAAAUUUUAACCUUCUCUCCUGUUUGUGGUGACCUUCUGGACCAAGGUAAAGAUAAAAGACAUUCCUUUUAGCAAAAGAAAUUCUAAGUACUUGUUAUCAAAAAACAAUGUAUGGUAUUUCAUUAAAUAGAAUCAAUAUAUUAAAAGGUAUUAUGUUCUUGGUUCAAUAUAGACAGACAGUCAGACAAAUAAAUACAUUUUUUUGAAAAAUAAAAGGCACAUGACCACCUUUUUAGUCCGACCAUUUUUAAAAAUUAUUAUUUUUAUUUACAUUGGUGUUUUGCCUGCAUGUUUGUCUGUAUGAGGCUGUCAGAUCUUGGAGUUAUAGACAGUUGGAGGUUCCAUGUGAUUGCUAGGUCUUCUAGGAGAGCAGCAAGUGCUCUUAACCAGCCCUAGUCUGCCAGUUCUGAGUAUCUGGGUUCAACUAUCUGAUUUGCGACAUGUUUAUUUAUUUUAUGAAAUCUGUUGGUAAAGACUAAUAUUUCCAUUUUAUUGCCUGACAAAGCAUACUAUUAUAUUUCAUAACACAUAAUAAUUAGAAAUUCACAUUUCAGUUUAAAAAGUUUUACUGGAACUUAGCCACAUUUACUCAUACAUUGUACACACUGUGGUGCUCUUUGGCUGCUAUAUAUGAGUAACCAAGACCACAGAGACUAAAGGACUGCUGGUGAUUGAGCUGCCAUGUCUCUCUCUCUCUACAUUGUUUUUAGUAGCUUUAAAUGGCAGAUUAGAGACAUUGUUACAAGCAAAUAGGAACUGUCCUCAUCCUGCUAUAUUGACAGCCAAGGACACUAUUUCUUUCCUCUCAAUUGUUCACCGUAGGCUGACAGGCCCUAGCCUUCUUUUGCUCGCUUUAGAUAAAAGCCUCUACAAUUUUUUAACCCUAGAUGCUUAUGGGUUCUCCUUUGCUGCAAAUUCCAGUCUGACGAUCCAUUCUUUUUUUUUGGAGGGGUGGGGUUCGAGGCAGGGUUUCUCUGUGGCUUUGGAGCCUGUCCUGGAACUAGCUCUUGUACACCAGGCUGGUCUCAACCUCACAGGGAUCCGCCUGCCUCUGCCUCCCUAGUCCUGGGAUUGCUGGGAUUAAAGGCAUGCACCACCACCGCCUGGCAUUCUUCAUGGUUUUCAAUUUCCUACUUCAACAUUUUAGUAUAAUCCUCUACCAACUACCCACCCCAAUACAUGAAUGGUAGGUAAGAUAGGCUUAAUUGUGAACUAUUACAAACUAAGCUUAUUGAUUGGAUUCAUUGUUCUUUGAUAUGUGUUUCAUAAUUUGGUCUUAUUUAAUUUUUAAGCUUUUGUAAUGUGUUGGUUUUUAAAGACAGGAUCUGACACUAAUGCAGGAUAGCUUAUGUUUGCCUAUAUACUACCUGAAGUCUUUGGGCCUAUCCCUCUCUGGUAGUUGGAAUACAUUCAUUAGCUGCUACACCUAGCAGUGUUUAAUUUUCAGAGAUCCCUUGUUGGAUGCCUGAGGUUUUCUCCCAUUCUGUUGUUGACUGUGUCCUUUGCUGUGUAGAAGAUGCCUUUUUAGAUUUAAUUUUUUUUUUUAGUAAAAAAAAAGUUGUAUUUACUUAGAAGCAUUCAGAAUGUCAACAAAACAGCUGCAAUUUUUUUUUUUUUUUUUUGCAAUUACAGUGUGGUAUUCAGUAAAAAGAACGAUUGUCUUCAUAUAAGCUGCAUCAGAGACAACUGAAGAUGGAAAAAAACAAACCAAAACCAAAACAAAAAAAAAAAAAUUACCAUCCCCAUAUAUAACUAAUUUCCAUCCCAAUUUACAACCCCCAGACACUGUACCAGGCAAAGUUAGUGGCUAUUGAAAAUACCACCAGGACAGGGCUAUCUAAAGACACAUCCCCUAGUGUGUUAACUAUACAAAAAAAAAAAAAAUGAACUGUACAGUUUAAAAACAAAUUUUACACAGCCUUACAUUUCAAUUUUUUUCUUUAAAAGGAGUGAGUUGUGUACACGGGGGUUAAAUGCUUUAUAUACCCCCCCAAAAAAACUGCGCUAGAACCAAUUGAUUCAUCAUCGUUGUCUUCAUUUUCAUCUUCCUUUUCUUCCUCCUCUUCCUCAUCUUUAUGCUCCUCCUCACCUUCCUCUUCCUUCUUUUUCUUGCUCUUUUCUGCCUAACCACCCCCUUUUUCGCUGCAUCGGGUUUUCCUUUAGCUCUGUAAGCAGCAAUACCCUUUUCGUGCUUCUCCUUCAGCUUGGCAGCCUUCUUUUCAUAGGGUUUCUUUGUCAUCUGCAGCAGUGUUGUUCCACAUCUCUCCCCGUUUCUUUGCAGCAUCACCAAUGGACAAGCCUGGGUGUUCUCCUUUGAUUUUGGGGCGAUACUCAGAACACAAGAAGAAGGCCGAAGGAGGCCUCUUGGGUGCCUUGGGGUCCUUGAACUUCUUUUUGGUUUCCCCUUUUGGGGGGAAUGUAGGUUUUCAUUUCUCUUUCAUAACGAGCCUUGUCAGCUUUUGCCAUGUCCUCAAAUUUCCCCUUUUCUUCAGCAGACACGGUCUUCCAACUUUCUGAGCACUUCUUUGAGAGCUCUGAGAAGUUGACUGAAGCAUUCGGUGCUUCUUGUGUUCCUCCCGGCAAGUUUGCACAAAGACUGCAUAUGAGGAUAUUGUGCCUCUCUGUUUCUUAGGAUCUCCUUUGCUCAUGUUUAGUUAGUUGAUUUUCAUGCGCAAGGCACAAAGUCGCCCAGUGCCCAUCUGUAUUUUGUUAGUUUUCUUUCUUUCUUGGAGUAUUGGGUCCUCUUUUUACUUUUUAUUUUGAGGCAGAAUCUCAAUUCUGCUCUGGAACCUCCUGAUGGUCUUAAAUUUGAGAUUCUUCUGCUCCUUAGUAGUUGUGAUUAAAAAGCUCUAUCAGCCCAGGGUUGGCUUGUUUGCUUUUUUUCUCUCACGAUCGAUCUCCCUAUUCGCCAGACUGACACAGUGACCUGGAGCUUUCAUCCUUUUGCCUCAGCAUCCCUAAGGCUGGGAUUCCAGAUAUGUGCUACCACACCUGCUUUACCUUCUUACAAUUUUCCUUUCGGGAAAUCAGAAAUUUGUGUUUCUUUGCUGUGUUUUAGAAACAGAGUCUAAUGUUAAAAUAAUCUGUCUUUUCCUUUUACUGAUAAUAUAGCCACAGAUCACCUUGAACUCUUGGCUUUGAAAAGUUUUUAAUGAUUUCUUCUACAUUGCCAUCCUAGGAAAUAUUUUUGUUGUUUCUAGUCAGGGUUUUCCUAUAUACUCCUGACUCAACUUGAAUUUACAGGCCUGAUACAGUAGUUCUGCUCCAGCCUGAAUGCUGAGGUAAUAAGCAUACACUACCAUGUCCUGUUCCAAAAUAUUGUGCAGAGUUAUUUCUUAGCUAUUUUCCUAAGACAUUUCCUUCAUUAGGUGUUGGAGACAUGGCUCAGCAGUGAAGAGCACUGACUGCUCUUCCAGAUGACCCAGGUUCAAUUCUCAGCACCCAUAUGGCAGCGCAGAACUAUAUAUAAGUCUGUCUCCUGGGAAUCUGGGAACCUUACAUACAUGCAGUCGAAACACCAAUGCACAUAAAAUAAAAGUAAUUUUUAAAAGACAUUUCCUUUAUCUAGGGAUAUUGUUGACAGUACAACACUUGCCUGCAAUAUUUGAAAUCUUGGGUCAGAUUUCUAGUAAUGUUUCCUUAGUAAAGCGUCAGUUUGACUACUUAAUCUGCCAUUUAGUAGUAUAUCAUGAAAACAAUUUUCUAAAUUGUUACACCCUAUGUAGCCCUGACUUUCCUGGAACUCUGUAGACCAUGCUGGUCUUGAACUCAGAGAUCCACUAUAAAAUUUAUUUCCACUUCCUUUUUCUUCCUAUUCUGCCAAAAUUUUCCUGAUGGUGUAUAUUUAAUUUCUUAAAGAUACUCCCUAUUGGUGAGGAUUAUAAAGUUAAAUUAAUGUGUUGAUUUUUACAAAUUUGACAAAAAUUUAGGAAUUUUAUUUAUUUUAUUUUAUUUAUUUAUUUAUUUAUUUAUUUUUGGUUUUUUGAGACAGGGUUUCUCUGUGUAGCUUUGGAGCCUAUCCUGGCACUCGCUCUGGAGACCAGGAUGGCCGAACUCACAGAAAUCUGCCUGCCUCUGCCUUCCGAGUGCUGGGAUUAAAGGUGUGCACUACCAACGCCCAGCAUAUUUUGUGGAGUUUUGUUGUUGUUUGCUUUUGUUUGUUUUUUUUUGUCUUUUCUUUUGUUGUUUCUCUGUGUAGCUCUGGUAAUGUAAGAGUAAACUAUGGUCAAAGCAUGCUACCUAUGCUCUUCUACUAUUUCACGUCCCUAGCCUUUAGAAAGUGAAUGCUAAUACGUCUCUUUCUGGUAGUAUUGCUUUCAAAUAUCCCAGAGUGAAUGACAGUUUCAUUUUCAGUUGUGGAAAAUUUGGAAAUAAUAGCGUGGUCCAUUGGCUCUUCUAGAUGGAUUUUAGUAAAAAGGGAAUAGAAGUUUAUAACACAUGGUAUUCAGUCUUUUUGCAGUAUUUCUCUAGUAAGAACCUGAAUAUGCUCCCAAAGAUGGACAGACACAACAAAACCUCAUGAGGACUUCUAGCUGACCACAAAUCCUAUCACUUUAUCAUGGUUUAAGGGAACCUGCCUUUCUGAGUUGAAGUCCUUUGGCCAAGUAUUUGACCCUGCUCAACUGGAUUAUUUGUAUGGGGUGGAGACAAAGGCAUGACUACACCUUGGUGUAAAUGCCAUUCUUUUGACUAAGAGAUAAUAGCCUUCUUUUUUUUUUUUUUUUUUUUUGGUAAUUGCCUUCUUUUAAUAUGCCUUUAAUCCUACUGUAAAGUUACUACUAUUAUUUUCUUUUCUUUUUUUUUUUUUCAAGACAGGGUUUCUCUGUGGCUUUGGAGGCUGUCCUGGAACUAGCUCUUGUAGACCAGGCUGGUCUCGAACUCACAGAGAUCCCCCUGCCUCUGCCUCCCGACUGCUGGGAUUAAAGGCAUGCGCCACCAACGCCCGGCCCCACUACUAUUAUUUCAUUAUGUUUUAUUAGCUAAGUCAUCAAACUAGUGAAGUGCCGAAUUUGGACAGAGUAAUUACUGGUAACAAUAGAUGCAGUUUCGGAAACUAAGCCUGCCAUGCUGUUUUAUAAUGUUGUCUUUGUAAUUUCAAAAAUAGUCUUAAUGUUUUUGGUAUUUCUUCCCAUGAUCAAUCUGUCUUAGUAACAUACAACUACUCUUCCACCUGAGUUAUUUUCCAUGGUACUAUAAUACUGGUUUCCAAAUAGAACUCCUUUUUGAAGGGGGUCAGUCAUUGCUGGAGAACAGUUUGUUUACUUAAUACACUUACUUUUUGUGUGUUUGUGUUGCAUAGGUGUUAGAGGCUAAAUUAGUGGGUCAAUUCUUUUCAGCAUGUGGAUCCUAUGGAUCAAACUUGGCAGCCCGCACAUUUACCUACUGAACAAUCUUAUCAGCUCAGUUUACUUAUUUAACAAAUAUGAAAACCCCCCAACUUAAGAGUUCAGCAUCUCUGUCCAGCCUGGUGCUACAAUUGUCAUGAGCAAGAAAACCUGAUCUCCUGUUUUUGGCUAGAUCACCUCCCACUUUUCCCUUGUUAAGAAACUAGAGAAGGACUCUUUGGCAUAGCUGUAGUUUUCACUCAUCUCUGCGAGGUAAGAACCAAGAGUUGUUCAUUAAAAUGCUAUUGUCUGUUUUUCCCUUUUAAAUUAGUGGAGUUCUAUGUAUUAUGAAUGACAGGGUUUGAGAUUGGACAUGAAAAUAGGUGGUCUAAGAAAACCUUUAACUUUCUCUGUACACAAGAGAGAUUCAAAAAAGAACUUGUGGGCAUUAACCUUAAGGAUGUUAAUGAAAAGAUUUGUAACAGAGAGUCAGCAAUACUUCUCUUGAUAUGGGGAGGAGGAAUGAGCCUGAAUAUAGUAGUGUCCUUUUCUUGUCUUCCAUGUACUCACAUAAAGUUUGUGAUAAUACCAAGAAACAUAAGUUAAUGCUAACUGGAAUGAAUUGUAUUUCUUAUACAAUGAUCAAUUAUGUCGUUUGAAAUCAGGUGCUUAGUCAUACUUUUUUUUAUGACCCUGAAUGCUUCCAUUACACUUACUCAACUACCACCAUCAUCACUUUACAAUUCAGAAGUAAUAAUGGUAGGAUAGAAGAAUAGAACUGAUGCUUCCAAGUUGUCCUUUCCUGCAGGUCGUUGUCGCAUGUGUGCACCUACAUUCACACAUCACAUAGUCAGAUAAAAUGUUAAUAAUAAUUUUAAAAAUAUAGUGCCAUUAUGCUUAAUAGUAAAUGCUUAUUACCUAUGCAUUCAAGUGAUGAAUGAAAAGCAGUGGGGACCUAAAAAGUCUUUUGUUUUGGAAGGGAUAAGUAUAAACGAAGAUACCGAAUACUGGUAACUAAGGAGUUUGUGGUUUGAGGUAUUAAUGCCAUGGAAACAUUAACAUAGGAACAAUAUCCUGGUGGAGCAACUUCCCCGAGGAUUUUUUAACUUUUUGGUCCCAACAUCACAGGUAGACAUAACAGUAUCUCUGAAGAGAAAUUGAGCUCUUAGGGCAUUGGAAGGAGCUUCUUUUUUGAAGAUGUUGGCAGAACUUCCACAUGAGCUACUCUGGAACUAGCAAAUUUUCCAGCUUAGAACUAACAGAGUAUGUCCUUGUAAACUGCCAGUCAGUACCUGUAAGAGGAGGCUUCAACAGGGGUGAACUACUUUAUAGAAGGUUCAAGAGUGUAAAUACAUUUUCCCCUGUCUUUUACAGUGUGGGUAGGAUUUCUAUAUUUAUUUCUCCACUUGUCUGCCUCAGUAAUGUCAAAGUGCCUCUUGUGUGACAUAGACAAGUUUCCCAUUGUUCUUUGCCUUGAAAUAAAUCUCAUAAUGUAGGACAUAGUUUUAAUAUAUCUCUCCUAGGUCUCUCAUAGAUCCUAGCCCUAAGAUGCUUCCAAGUGAAGUUCUUGAAAUUAUACCUAAAAAGCAAUCAGAAUUGUGCCAUAAUAUAUGUAAUUUGACUAAGGCUAAGUAAUCAGUCAUAGUAGGUCAUUUUAUCACAAAUGCAAAUUCGUCCUUAAAGUUUUGGGAUUCCUCGCAGUCACUCCCUAUCUUCUAGGAAUUUGCUAUCUACGCAAGUUCAGAUACAAUUCUGUCUGAUAUGCAGUAUCUCCGCACAUUGGUCAAAUGAUACCUUUACCUCUUGGUCAAAUGAUAAUCUCAAGGCCUUUUUAUCAUAAUCAAAUGAUAAACUCAAGGCUUUUUGUUUGUUUGUUUGUUUUUUCGAGACAGGGUUUCUCUGUAUUGCUUUGGAGCCUAUCCUGGCACUCUCGAUGGAGACCAGGCUGGCCUUGAACUGACAGAGAUCUGCCUGCCUCUGCCUCCUGCAUGCUGGGAUUAAAGGCGUGUGCCACCAAUGCCCGUCAAGGCCUUUUCAUCAUGUUCAAAUGACCAAGUAGACCUUAAUAAUAGCACUAAAAGGUGCAUUCUUGGCUUUUUUAUUGUGUAAGGUGACCUGAGGAUGUAUUGACUCAUUGUCAAGCUUUGGACAUAUGGUAAAAUUGGCUGAGAUCCAACGUUGGUGGACAGUGGUUAUUUCAUGCUUUUAUGUGUAAUGGAUAUGGGGUAUCACUUCCUAUGUGGCUACUUCCUGCUGGUGGAAGGAUUAUCAUAUGAAGUUUUAGGGGCUCUAGAAUCAUAAAGGAAGCCAUGGCCUCCACACAAGCAUACAUGUCCAUAUGUGCAAAAAACACAUACACCAAAGAGAAAACUUUUUUCUCAUUUCUGUUUAUUCAUUAAGUUACUAUAAGAUUUUCUGAUGUAUGACCAACAUGUUUUGUCUAAUUAGUCCAGCAAGUUGUGUAUGUUACCCAGCAUAAAUUUUUGUUUUUAUGUUUUAUGUGGGUUUUUUGUUUAGUUUUGUUUUUAGGACACUUGAUCUAAAACAGGCAUGUUAUUUCUCUGGAGGCUUUCAUUUUGUUUUAUUGUAUUUUCAGACUGUCUCACUUUAUAGUCCACUGUUUCUAGAGAAAUGUGUGAAGUCUCCAAAUUUGUUUUCAAUGGGUUUAUUAGGGGAAACAGACUAAAAAAUAGGAAGUGUUUUUUUGGUUUUUCAAGUCAGGGUUUCUCUGUAUGUUUGUGGCGUGUCCUAGAACUCUGUGUAGACCAGGGUAGCCUCAGACACAGAGAGAUCCUCUGCUUUUGUCUCCCGAGUGUUGGGGUUAAAGGCAUGAGCCACCAUGCCCCGCUAAAUUUGCUACUGAAAAAUAUGAAGUAUAAAAGGCGGGGAAUUGUGGCUCAAUCCUUUAAUCCUAGCACUCAGGAGGCAGAGGCAGGAAUUCAUGGAUAGCGUGGUCUACAGAGAGCAUUCCAGAACAGCCCUGCAGAGAAACCAUAUCUUGGAAUAAUAAAAGCAAACAGCCAAACAAAAAAAUCCAAUUCAAGCCACUAAAAGCAGCCAGCUAGACUUUCCAAUAGAGAGUCCCAGGAAGAGCAUUGUAUCAAAUCGCGUAUUCAAACAAAUGAGAAGUUUGAGACUUAGUUGAGUUCCCACUGAGGUUUCUCUCCAUGCCUAAAUUUCCACUACAGACAACCCCCCCCCCCGACCCGAGACAGGGUGAUUUGGCAGUAGCAUUUCUCUCCUCAUUUUGUGCCAGGAUUGAUGUGGCUGAUGGGCAGGUAUCUUCUUCCUCUCUUACCGCUCUUAUUAUCCCUCCAGAAGCGACGCGGUCGCGCUCAGGCACUACGUGAUCGUGCUCGGUCACUACGUGAUCGCGCUCGGUCACUACGUGAUCGCGCUCGGUCACUACGUGAUCGCGCUCGGUCACUACGUGAUCGCACUCGGUCACUAUGCGGUCGCGCUCGGUCACUAUGCGGUUGCGCUCGGUCAAAGAGGACUACCUUUCCCCGAAUAAAGGAGGAUCGUACCGGUCUUCGGUCAUAGGGGACGACUGUAACACCGGUCUUCUGUUAAGGGUAUCCUGAGUAGCUGCAGCCAUGGCGUUCUUUAUGUGUGUUUGUCCCGCUGGAACCUGCAAACAAGCUUCCAAGGUCCACUGCAUACUGUCUCAUGGGUUAAACACUAUUAGCUGUUUGUAGGGGUAGAAUGAUUUUAGUUUUGUCUUUUAUUGUGCAGAGAAUUAGCGGGAUAGCCCAUCAGUAGGUCUUGUAGUCCACUGUAAAAAGUCUCUUUUUUUUGUCCCUCUAGCCAGCUCCCAAAUAAUGACCUUAUGUUAGGCUUUUUUUUUUUUUUUUCAAUUAUCUCUCGUAAGUUGAAUUAGCGUGUCUGUAGUCUACAUUUUGCCACAUGGCUCGGUUACCUUGGUACUCUACCUAUGUCCAAAUUCUUCACAGUCUUACUGGUGUCUCUUUACUGUCCAUUCUUCUGUGUCUGGCUGGUGAUCCAACCUUUCUUUCAGAGUCUUGUCUGUCCUUGGUGAUCCUACCUAAACUUUAUUAAAUGCAUCAGAAGGCUCCUCGGGAAAGAAACUUCACAAUAUAAAUAAAUAUUCCGAGAUACUUUGAGACAACAUACUUAUUUCUGUAGCAUGGGGGAGGAGGACCACAACCCCUCUUUCCUUGGCCUUUGUGAUCUCAAACAACGCUUGGUAAUUUACUCGUAAAAUGUACCUACCAUCAAGGCUGGGUUAAACUUAAGAUUCUCCUUGGUCAGUUUAACCAGUGCUGGGAAUACAAGAAAGUGGCUACUGAUUUCAUUUACUUCAUCUUGUAUCCUGCCACUUUCCUGAAGGUGUUUAUCAGCUGUAAGAGUUCCCUGGUAGAGUUUUUUGGGUCACUUAUGUAAAUUAUCAUAUCAUCUGCAAAUAGUGAGAGUUUGACUUCUUCCUUUCCUAUGUGUAUCUCCUGGAUUUCCUUUUGUUGUCUUAUUGCUGUAGCUAGGACUUUAAGUAUAGUAUUGAAAAGAUAUGGAAAGAGUCGGCAGCCUUGUCUUAUGCUGAUUUUAGAGGAAUCCUUUGAGUUAUAUUGGCUGUUGGUAUACUGUAUAUUUUUUUUAAAUUCCUUUUAGGUGUGUUCCUAUUAUCCCUGGUCUCUCUAAGACCUUUAUCAUGGGGGGGGGGGAUUCAAAGGCUUUUUCCGAAUCUAGUGAGAGGAUUAUCCUUCUGCUGUCUUUUAAGGAUAGAAAGGCUUCUAUUUCAGCCUGAGAACACUGAGAAGAAAUGGUUUUUAAUGAUAAGUGGCUUUAUUUGGUGCGGAGGUGCUCUUUAAGGGUCUUUCUUACCCUCUCCCUACCUUUGUGUCUUUCUGUCCCCUUCUCCUGAUUCCUCUCAGACUGACUCUUCUCUGUUAGUCCUCUUUGCAAUGUUAAGCUAAACGUAUUUCUAUACAAUUUUAAUUCAAUUAUUGGCAUUUUUUUGGUACCCUGAGUCAAGAAUAUUGAAUAAUUCUCUCCUAUAUCUUCGGUUGUUUUGCUCGUGCACUUGCGGUUUUGAAUUAGGCACAGUUCUUGCCUUCUCUGAGGAUACCAGAAAUCCUGGUAAACCAUGACUAUGCAUUGAACCAUAAAAGGUUAACUCGUUAGUCAUUGGGAGUUUGGGGGUGGGAUAUCUACAGGGACAGUGAGAUGGAUUACUGGAGAGUUUUAGAAGCAUAUAAUAGGUAAGGGUUUUUGUUAAGCAUGGACUUUAUUAUGAAUUGCCAGACAGGGAUGCUUCUGAUGAUUCUUGUGGCAGUGACAAAUAGUCAAAAGCAAAAAUUGUGGGAGUUGAUAAAUAGUGUUAGCUAGAGGCAACUUAUAGGAAAAUUAGAGGAGGGAAGCAAGAAGAAGACUGAUUUUCAGUGCGCUAUUGAAAUAACAGCAUAGCAUAUGUUCCUGGUCACUCUCAUCUUAUCCGCUCUGCUUUCACUGUCAGUGUUUUUGCAGACCUGUAUAUUUGCUCUAAAUGAAAUGUGAAGGAUGUUGAAGGAAUAAAUAUUCUGUUAUUGGAGCCAUUGCUUCACUUAGAUACUUGAAAUGUUCAUUGCUUCACUUUCAAACAACAAAUAUAUACCGUAAUUGGAAAUAUCCUGUGUUGACUUUCUUCUCAAAGCCUGGCAUAUAGUCCUAUUCAUAUAAUCCCAGCAUUGGAGCUGCUUACACAGGAAGAUCAUCUUGAAUAGAGGCCAGCCUGGGUUUCAUAACAGUACCUUGUCUCAAACAAACAAAAACACCAUAAACAUGUUUCUACUAAAGAAUCUUAGUAUUGCCCUUUAGGAUUCAAAUAAUGGCUUUCUGACCAGGGCAAUUAUAUUUGAGUAGAUUGCCUUUUUUAAGAAGGCCUAUAUUAAACACUAACUUGUAGUACUUCAAAGGAACUUACUGGGGAGAAAGCCUAGAGCUGCACAGGAAAACAGUGAUUCUAGGGUUUGGGCCAUGUCAUUAGCUAGCCUAUCCUUAAACUGCUUCCUUAGUUCCUGAUGUAGUUUAUUAUUUUGUUUGUUUGUUUGUUUUCCCCAGUAGUUAGGAUUCAGUAGAAUAUAAGACCAUAUUGAAAUAAUUUUUUCAAGACUGUAGAACAGGGCAGGAAUAUACGUAAAGUGUAUCAGCUAUGGUUACUGUUAAUAAUGGUGUUGACCAUGACAUGGUUUAAAAGAAGAGAGAUAACAAGCAUUAUAGCAGGGAAACUGUUUUUCCAUGACACACUACUGUGGAGGCUCGUCAGAUAUUUUAUUCUGCUAGGACUGUUAGAGAUUAGACUAUUCCUUGACCCAUAUUGAUUAGUAACCUUUGUUCUAAGUUAAAGGUUGUGGAGAAGUUUCAUUACACAUGAAGAAAGGUUUUUGUCACAGCAGAACUGAAAUGUAAUUCUAUUCUACCUGUUUAGUAGCUAUGUUGUUUAAUGCCUCUACCCCACACACCGAACCUUGGUCUUACCAUACCAUGCUUAAUUUUCAGGGUUUCCAUGAAGAGAUAUGUAAAGUAUAUCAAAGGUAUUCUAUAAAGUAAAGCUUUAAUCGUUAGUUCUUGGGACACUCAACGCAUGAGAGAAAGAAACAACAGCACACCUUGGUGCUCAGGAGGACUUCAUGGAUCCAGCAGCAACCUGGAGUGGUGCUCCUCUGAAGAAAUCCUACUCGGAUGGAUAUAAUACAACCUGCUAAGUGUUCUAGCACUUAUCAGGUUGUAUUAUCAUUGUCCGUGUUUAUGGCUCUCGUCUCUCAGACUAAAUUCUUAAGGGCAAGGACUGUGCCUUACUCAUCUUUGCAUUCCCAGUGCCUAAUCCGGUGCACAUUGUAGGCCUCAUUAAAUGUUUGUUGAAUGAAAAAAUGAAUCAUCAACAGAUAUUAAUUGGGCGCCUGCUCUGUCAUCUCCAUGGGCUCAGCUUGUUCCUGCCAGUUGCCUACAGCAUCCAAGGUCUCUUCAAUGUACUUACUUCUGAAGCUUAAGCCUGUCUUCUCAGUUCUAUGUAGUGUGGACCAUUUUAAAAUGACUGAUGUGUUUGUGUUUUAUAAUCUAUGUUGAGGGUGUAAAAGGGAGUACCUUAAAUGUUGUAUUUGAUAAUGUGUUUUCUAUGUAAUAUUGCACUUAUAUUUCUGUGUUUUGCAAUUGCCUGUUUUUAGAUGUUGCACGGUUGCUGUUGUUACUAUAAUUGCUACCAUUUACUCCCUAGGUUGGACCACAGUGAUCUUUGAUUAAAAGUUUCAUCAUUUCAAUCUGGGGUCUGCUGUUAUGGUUGGUAUUCAGUUUUUCUUUUUCAUCUUUGUCCAGCUCUCCACAUUCCUGUAUACCAAAUACCAAGCUCAUAUUUCCUUUUUCUUAUGUUGUGUAUGAAAUCUCUAUUAUCCAGUGAGAAAUCUUUCUGUUAUCAGGGUCCUACAGUAAGUCAUAUAAUCACCUUUUUAAUAUGGGAGGAAAUUAAGUAUGUUUGCAGACCUUGGAGAAAGACAAUCCACAUUAUAGAUGCAUAUAAUGGUUAGAGGGUAUUGGGAUGAGGAACAGGUCUCUUAUGGCACAAAUCCUAAACAGUUGACAGGAAAGUAUAGGGCACUAGUCUAGCAACCAUUGAAAAAAAUAUACUGCUUUUGAUGCUUUGUCACAAGUACCAUUUGCUUGCCCUAGUUAAGGAGAGGGCAGCGAGCAAGCAUCCGAGGUCAGGAGUAGACUGUCUAAGAAGUAUUAGUAUGAACAACAUUUGUGUUUUUAAGUUUUAUUUCUUUUUAUUUGAAAAAAGAUCUAGCUCAUUAGUCUGUAAUUCCCCAGAUAUUUUAAGCAAAUCCCAAACUUGAGAAAUUCUGCUUCUGCCUCUCAAUUUAUAUGACAUGGCCCACCAAACAUGUCGAAAAAAGGGAUGCUGAGUGCUGGGGACAUAGGUCAGUGGUAGAGUAUUUACCUACCAAAACAUGUAUGGGUCAAUCUGCAGUAUGGGGAGGAGUAUGUAUGUGGUAUUUUAGAAGUGCAUGCAUUCAUUAAUUAGUUUCAUGCAACCCGCCACCAAUAAAAGGCAUUCUUGGAUCAGGAAAUUUCCAAUUUUUUGGCUCAAGUGGUAGCAUUUCCCUUUGCUGUUGAAGACAGAAAUGGCAUUAAGGAUUUAGAAGGUAAAACACACAAGAAAGUCUUAUGAACUAACAGUUCAAGCAGACUUUCUCCUGUAUCUUUUUGGGCAGCUUUGGUGUGUAGCCCAAUUUGUCUUAACACGACUUUCCUCCUGCCUCUAUGACUGUUUUGGUCACAGGGUUUCUGUGUUCCUGCCUCUCCUGGAACAGGUCAGGUGUGUUCAGAUUGUUCUUUUGAAUGCUGUUUUCUAAGUAUAGAAUACAUGGCUUUUCUUAUAUUCUUCAAUCUUCUCAGUAUUUUAACGAAGAUUUAAUAAUCACUGUUCUCAUGGCUACUCCUUCAGGGACCAGGUUUGCUUUGUAUUUACCCCUCAGGUUAAGUUAGACAAGGGGAAAAGAUGGCACAGCAACAGGGUUGCCCAAAGUUAAGAUCCUCACCAGUAAACAAGUGGCAUUUUUCAGUUACACGUUAACCCCUUCUCUUGGUUUGUGUUAGUCUGAUAACACUCACUUGAUGUCAUUUUGGAAGCUGGAGAAGCUAUACCCAAGAAUAAACAACGGCCUUAGUAGUCCCUCUAGUUUGGAUUGGUCAAUAGGUACUAAAAUUGUUUAGACAAAUAGUAUGCAUUAGGAGUCAUGGUUAACACUCUCAUGAGUGUGGUUGGGACAGGACAUAAGUGUGGAAAGUAUUAUGACUUUCAAGUACUUUCCCAGUGAAUUCCCAGGAUACCCCUUGAUCUUGCCUUCUCUUUCUUGUCUUGUGUCCUAAUACAGCUUUUGUUCUUAGUAACACCUCUCUCUUUUUCCCCACCCAGAUGUGUUUCAGCAAUUUCUCUUCCUCACACUGCUCAGAACUGGAUGUGUGAAAAGCUGCAUUGUGAAUAAAAACUCAGUGUGUGUUGGGAGUAGAGUCCUUGUUGCUAUCUGGAUGUAACAACAGCAGUGACACACAAAGCCAAUGCAGAGGAAGGUGUUGCUCAUCAAUGGGUCCAGUACCUGAGGAACAAGAGAACCAACAGGAAGUGGACAGCAGUGUGACCUUUUGAGAGAAGACUUGAGCAAAAAGGUAUGGCAUUUUAAUAAUGGCAUCCCCUUUCAAAGAGAUUCUCCUCACCAACUAAGCAUAUAGAAGGAAUGCCCCUGGAGACUGCUGGAGAGGUUGGCCUGCUACAGAAAUGGAAAACGCCUGUCCAGCGCCCCUAGGCUCUGCAGUGUGCCAGGACAACUUACAAACAAUGCUGCCCUCCUUGCUCUGGGUUUCUCUGUAUUGCUUUGGAGGUUGUCCUGGAACUCGCUCUGUAGACCAGAGAUCUGCCUGCCUUUUCCUCACAAGUGCUGGGACUAAAGCGUCAUCAUUGCCUGGCAAGAUUUAUUUAUUUUUUAUGUACAUUGCCUGUUUUACAUGCAUCCAUGUCUGUGGGAAGAUCCUGAAACUGGAGUUAUAGUUGUGAGCUAUCCUGUGG